Molecule: ribosomal RNA, 631 nt
Filed under: Glutinoglossum australasicum
Lineage: Eukaryota; Fungi; Ascomycota; Geoglossomycetes; Geoglossales; Geoglossaceae
Description: eukaryotic LSU rRNA
Rfam family: Eukaryotic large subunit ribosomal RNA
Source: RNAcentral
CGCUGAACUUAAGCAUAUCAAUAAGCGGAGGAAAAGAAACCAACAGGGAUUGCCUCAGUAACGGCGAGUGAAGCGGCAACAGCUCAAAUUUGAAAUCUGGCUCUUUUCAGGGUCCGAGUUGUAAUUUGUAGAGGAUGUCUUCGGGUCUGACCCCGGCCUAAGUUCCUUGGAACAGGACGUCACAGAGGGUGAGAAUCCCGUAUGUGGCUGGAGGUCUAUUCCCAUGUGAAGCUCCUUCGACGAGUCGAGUUGUUUGGGAAUGCAGCUCAAAAUGGGUGGUAAGUUUCAUCUAAAGCUAAAUACCGGCGGGAGACCGAUAGCGCACAAGUAGAGUGAUCGAAAGAUGAAAAGCACUUUGGAAAGAGAGUUAAAAAGUACGUGAAAUUGUUGAAAGGGAAGCGCUUGCGACCAGACUUGCCCUCAGUUGAUCAGCCGGGGAUAGACCCCGGUGCACUCUGCUGAGGUCAGGCCAGCAUCGGUUUAGGCGGUUGGAGAAAGGCCUUGGGAAUGUGGCUCCCUCCGGGGAGUGUUAUAGCCCACGGUGUCAUGCAACCAGCCUGGACCGAGGACCGCGCUUCGUGCUAGGAUGCUGGCUUAAUGGUCGUAAGCGACCCGUCUUGAAACACGGACC